AUUGAACGCUGGCGGCAUGCCUUACACAUGCAAGUCGAACGGUUUGAAGGGGCUUGCUCCUUCAGUUAGUGGCGAACGGGUGAGUAAAGCAUCGGAACGUACCCAGUCGUGGGGGAUAACGUAGCGAAAGUUACGCUAAUACCGCAUACGAUCUGAGGAUGAAAGCGGGGGAUCGCAAGACCUCGCGCGAUUGGAGCGGCCGAUGUCGGAUUAGCUAGUUGGUGAGGUAAAGGCUCACCAAGGCGACGAUCCGUAGCUGGUCUGAGAGGAUGAUCAGCCACACUGGAACUUAGACACGGUCCAGACUCCGACGGGAGGCAGCAGUGGGGAAUUUUGGACAAUGGGGGAAACCCUGAUCCUGCCAUGCCGCGUGAGUGAAGAAGGCCUUCGGGUUGUAAAGCUCUUUCAGUCUGAAAGAAAAGGCUCUGGUUAAUACCUGGGGUCGAUGACGGUACCGGAAGAAUAAGUACCGGCUAACUACGUGCCAGCAGCCGCAGUAA
Molecule: ribosomal RNA, 500 nt
Filed under: uncultured bacterium
Lineage: Bacteria
Description: partial 16S ribosomal RNA
Rfam family: Bacterial small subunit ribosomal RNA
Source: RNAcentral